This 292-nucleotide ribosomal RNA is filed under the name uncultured Planctomycetota bacterium. Its description in RNAcentral is "uncultured planctomycete partial 16S ribosomal RNA". The record is from RNAcentral. Lineage: Bacteria; Pseudomonadati; Planctomycetota.
GGACUACCGGGGUAUCUAAUCCCGUUCGCUCCCCUGGCUUUCGUGCCUCAGCGUCAGUAAAGGUCCAGCGCGCCGCUUUCGCCACCGGAGUUCCUGAUGAUAUCAACACAUUUCACCGCUCCACCAUCAGUUCCGCACGCCCCUACCUCACUCAAGAUGACCAGUAUCAAAGGCAGUUCUCCAGUUAAGCUGGAGGAUUUCACCCCUGACUUGAUCGCCCGCCUACGCACCCUUUAAGCCCAGUGAUUCCGAACAACGUUCGCACGGUUCGUCUUACCGCGGCUGCUGGCAC